AAAUGAAUAGACGGGGGCCCGCACAAGCAGUGGAGUAUGUGGUUUAAUUCGAAGCAACGCGAAGAACCUUACCAGGUCUUGACAUCCGACUAACGAGGCAGAGAUGCGUCAGGUGCCCUUCGGGGAAAGUCGAGACAGGUGGUGCAUGGUUGUCGUCAGCUCGUGUCGUGAGAUGUUGGGUUAAGUCCCGCAACGAGCGCAACCCUUGCCAUUAGUUGCUACGUAAGAGCACUCUAAUGGGACUGCCGUUGACAAAACGGAGGAAGGUGGGGAUGACGUCAAAUCAUCAUGCCCCUUAUGACCUGGGCAACACACGUACUACAAUGGCCGCUAACAGAGGGAGGCAAUACCGCGAGGUGGAGCAAACCCCCAAAAGCGGUCUCAGUUCGGAUUGCAGGCUGAAACCCGCCUGUAUGAAGUCGGAAUUGCUAGUAAUCGCGGAUCAGCAUGCCGCGGUGAAUACGUUCCCGGGCCUUGUACACACCGCCCGU
Molecule: ribosomal RNA, 491 nt
Filed under: uncultured bacterium
Lineage: Bacteria
Description: bacterial SSU rRNA
Rfam family: Bacterial small subunit ribosomal RNA
Source: RNAcentral